Podarcis lilfordi (Lilford's wall lizard) is the source of this 70-nucleotide non-coding RNA. The record is from the annotation of a GenBank genome assembly. NCBI's taxonomy places the organism in Eukaryota, Metazoa, Chordata, Lepidosauria, Squamata, Lacertidae.
GGUCAUUGCUCAGUGGUCAGGUUUUAGCUUUGCAUGCAGAAGGUCCUUGGUUCAAGUCCUGGCAUAUCCA